Molecule: ribosomal RNA, 254 nt
Filed under: uncultured bacterium
Lineage: Bacteria
Description: partial 16S ribosomal RNA
Rfam family: Bacterial small subunit ribosomal RNA
Source: RNAcentral
UACAUGUGGGGCAAGCGUUGUCCGGAUUUAUUGGGCGUAAAGAGCUCGUAGGCGGUUCCGUAAGUCGGAUGUGAAAACUCAGGGCUCAACCCGGAGACGCCAUCCGAUACUGCGGUGACUGGAGUCUGGUAGGGGAUCACGGAAUACCUGGUGUAGCGGUGAAAUGCGCAGAUAUCAGGUGGAACACCGAUGGCGAAGGCAGUGAUCUGGGCCAGUACUGACGCUGAGGAGCGAAAGCGUGGGGAGCAAACAGG